GGGCAGGGGCGGCGUGCUUACACAUGCAGUCGAACGAUGAUCCCAGCUUGCUGGGGGAUUAGUGGCGAACGGGUGAGUAACACGUGAGUAACCUGCCCUUGACUCUGGGAUAAGCCUGGGAAACUGGGUCUAAUACCGGAUACGACCAUCUGGCGCAUGUCAUGGUGGUGGAAAGCUUUUGUGGUUUUGGAUGGACUCGCGGCCUAUCAGCUUGUUGGUGGGGUAAUGGCCUACCAAGGCGACGACGGGUAGCCGGCCUGAGAGGGUGACCGGCCACACUGGGACUGAGACACGGCCCAGACUCCUACGGGAGGCAGCAGUGGGGAAUAUUGCACAAUGGGCGCAAGCCUGAUGCAGCGACGCCGCGUGAGGGAUGACGGCCUUCGGGUUGUAAACCUCUUUCAGUAGGGAAGAAGCGAAAGUGACGGUACCUGCAGAAGAAGCGCCGGCUAACUACGUGCCAGCAGCCGCGGUAAUACGUAGGGCGCAAGCGUUAUCCGGAAUUAUUGGGCGUAAAGAGCUCGUAGGCGGUUUGUCGCGUCUGCUGUGAAAGACCGGGGCUCAACUCCGGUUCUGCAGUGGGUACGGGCAGACUAGAGUGCAGUAGGGGAGACUGGAAUUCCUGGUGUAGCGGUGAAAUGCGCAGAUAUCAGGAGGAACACCGAUGGCGAAGGCAGGUCUCUGGGCUGUAACUGACGCUGAGGAGCGAAAGCAUGGGGAGCGAACAGGAUUAGAUACCCUGGUAGUCCAUGCCGUAAACGUUGGGCACUAGGUGUGGGGGACAUUCCACGUUUUCCGCGCCGUAGCUAACGCAUUAAGUGCCCCGCCUGGGGAGUACGGCCGCAAGGCUAAAACUCAAAGGAAUUGACGGGGGCCCGCACAAGCGGCGGAGCAUGCGGAUUAAUUCGAUGCAACGCGAAGAACCUUACCAAGGCUUGACAUGAACCGGAAAGACCUGGAAACAGGUGCCCCGCUUGCGG
This 980-nucleotide ribosomal RNA is filed under the name Paenarthrobacter aurescens. RNAcentral's name for it is "bacterial SSU rRNA". It matches the Rfam family "Bacterial small subunit ribosomal RNA", at positions 31 to 1026 of the family's 1533-position model. Lineage: Bacteria; Bacillati; Actinomycetota; Actinomycetes; Micrococcales; Micrococcaceae. The record is from RNAcentral.